This is a long non-coding RNA of Zophobas morio, 540 nucleotides long. RefSeq lists it as uncharacterized. Lineage: Eukaryota; Metazoa; Arthropoda; Insecta; Coleoptera; Tenebrionidae. The record is from RefSeq and is a predicted model, not a curated record. The transcript has 3 exons.
AAUUUCUUACCUCAAACUCAAUUAGCCAAAUACACUGACGUCAUCCGAGGUCAUCAAGAUGGCAGCGUUUGACAACUAGCCGGUUUUCUCAUAAGAGUCAAUGCUAAUAUUUUCGGAAUUCAUUUAAAUUUGAGAGUGUGUCAACUGUGUUUUUAUAGUUUGGAGAAAAUGCCUACAUUUUGUGCUGUUGUGGGUUGCGCGAAUCGAAGCACCAGAAAUGCGGACAAAUUUUAUUUUCCUUUCCCAGCAAUUAGCAACAAUAAAGGUAAAUAUAGUAUACAGGAUGGGGAAAAAAGGCGGAAGCUUUGGUUAAAAGCCUUGAAACGAGUGGAUUUAACGAAGCCAAAGUAAAGUAUUCCUAUAUUUGUUCGGAUCAUUUUAUUUUAGGUAAACCUGCAGAUUUGUCGGUUGUGGACCAUCCUGAUUAUAUUCCAUCACAAAAUUUAGGAUAUCAAAAUAAAUCCACUCAAUACUUGUAAUGUUGAAAGACACAGUCGUUUAAAAAAGAGAAAACUGAAUAAAUGGCUCUAGACUUUUGAA